GGCAAUCAAUAAAGUGAUUACAUCAAGUUCCAUGGUGCCACUAGUUCUCCUGUUAGUUUUAACUCACGUGGUAGGAUAUUAAUAAUCACUGUUGGCAAUCCAUUCCAAAGUCUCAUAAGCUUCAUUGUAAGAUUUAUCCAACAAGAUACCAUUGGCAGAAGCAACAAAAACCAUUCUUGUAUGUUCAUUCAACCCAUUGUAAAACAUCUCCAUCUGUGUCUCGUGC
Molecule: long non-coding RNA, 226 nt
Filed under: Gossypium barbadense (sea-island cotton)
Lineage: Eukaryota; Viridiplantae; Streptophyta; Magnoliopsida; Malvales; Malvaceae
Description: long non-coding RNA (GBAR_LNC018039)
Source: RNAcentral